AUCCAGCUGACGAGUGCCAAACAGGACGAAACGCGCGUCCUGGAU
Molecule: non-coding RNA, 45 nt
Organism: Schistosoma haematobium
Lineage: Eukaryota; Metazoa; Platyhelminthes; Trematoda; Strigeidida; Schistosomatidae
Source: Rfam